GAUCGAGGUAACAGCAGAGU
RNAcentral lists this unclassified non-coding RNA (20 nucleotides) under Mus musculus (house mouse). RNAcentral's name for it is "oocyte_clustered_small_RNA3781". The record is from RNAcentral. Lineage: Eukaryota; Metazoa; Chordata; Mammalia; Rodentia; Muridae.